AUUAAGCACCUGGUGAGAGGGCAGGGCUAACCCAGGGGAGCUCAGGUGCAUGCAAUGUGCUGACUGAUGGAAGGGGUCUAGCCAGGAUCCACCCCUUCCCAGCCCUCAUUUAAGGGUUGGCAGUGAGAGAAGGGGGUCUCACUGAAGAUCCCUGCCUACCUGAGGCUUCCUGAAGACACACGCUCAGCCCUCUGCCCCACACCCCCACCGCUCCCUUGGAUGGAGAUCUGAAGGAUGAUGAGUUCCCAUGCUGUGCCAACGUCCUCCGAGCCGAGCGCGCUCCUCCGUUCCGCACCCUGCGCUGUGCCACCUACCUCUGGCUGCAUCCCAGCGCUCUGAUGAUGCCGACUGUUCUGAGAGAUUGUCCUUGUCCCAGGAGGGGCAGAAGCCCCUCUGAGGGUACAGAUGCUACAUGUGGAUGAGGCUCAGCCCAUCCCCCUCUGCUAACAGAGGUGCUGCCCACCUGGGCAAAAUGCUACAGGACAGAACCUGGGGAAAAGCUGCAAGCCCUGUGAGUUUCCUGAUCUCUGUUACGGUCAAGGUGCAUUCUGUGCUUCCAGUGAUCAUCCCUCCUCACUCCAGGUCGAUUCCAAUCUCUCCUAUAUCUGUGGGGCCGGCUCGGCAGUGGGUUUGUCGCUGGGGGUGCUGGCUGCUACCCUACAGAAACUCAGGCUGACACGAGAACAGUACAUGGCUGGGCAGCAGAGCCACCCCUAUGAGGUUGGGUCCUGCAGAGCCGCCCACAGCCACAGCUGUGCCACCACCAGAAGACUUGCUUGGGCUCGGCUGUCUGCUGAAGAGCUGGAGACUGCAAAAUGAAAAAAGGUUACGUGUAUCGAUGCAACAGACACUUGCAAGUUAGGUGGGACCUGCAGGCACCCCCUUCCACAGACCCCAAUGAGCUGAUCACCUCUCAGCUGGGAAGCCCAUCAACAAGCCACUGCCCAGUCUGCCUUGCUCCUCCAUAUAGCCCAGCUCCUCUGCAGAUACUGAUGCGUGCUGCCAAACCCACACCGCCCCAAGCAAAGCCCCACGUGCUCCCUGUAGACUGACUGCCUGACGAGCCCUUCAUGGUAAAGCAGCACCAGAUUUGCAGCACUCCAUGUCCGCACAGCCAAAUGCCUCCAUCCCACUCCAGCUAACCCAAGGCGUGCAUUAUCCAAGCCUCAUAUCUGUCCGGAUCCAAAAAAAGGCUGCCUUCCCUCCUUCUCUGGAUGCCAGCAGCCUCUCUGUUGCACAGAUGUCCCUGCCCACCCCACACGAUGACAGGGCCAAGCCCUGGUGCUUACCCCUGCAGCUCUUGCCGUCCCCUUGCAGUGUCCCUGUCACACAGCUGCACAGGGGUCCAUCGGCUUGACUCGUGCAGAUCUGCUCACAGCCACCGUUGUCCUCACACCAGUCUGAUCCUUUGUGCAUGACAGAUAGUGAGAGAUGCUGC
Molecule: long non-coding RNA, 1438 nt
Organism: Tympanuchus pallidicinctus (lesser prairie-chicken)
Lineage: Eukaryota; Metazoa; Chordata; Aves; Galliformes; Phasianidae
Exons: 2
Source: RefSeq, a predicted model, not a curated record